This 448-nucleotide ribosomal RNA is filed under the name uncultured bacterium. Its description in RNAcentral is "bacterial SSU rRNA". It matches the Rfam family "Bacterial small subunit ribosomal RNA", at positions 30 to 476 of the family's 1533-position model. The record is from RNAcentral.
UGAACGCUAGCGGCAGGCCUAACACAUGCAAGUCGAACGGCAGCACAGUCUAGCUUGCUAGACAGGUGGCGAGUGGCGAACGGGUGAGUAACGCGUAGGAAUAUGCCUUAAAGAGGGGGACAACUUGGGGAAACUCAAGCUAAUACCGCAUACACUCUGAGGAGUAAAGCUAGGGACCUUCGGGCCUGGCGCUUUAAGAAUAGCCUGCGUCUGAUUAGCUAGUUGGUGAGGUAAAGGCAUCACCAAGGCGACGAUCAGUAGCUGGUCUGAGAGGAUGGACAGCCACACUGGGACUGAGACACGGCCCAGACUCCUACGGGAGGCAGCAGUGGGGAAUAUUGGACAAUGGGGGGAACCCUGAUCCAGCAAUGCCGCGUGUGUGAAGAAGGCCUGAGGGUUGUAAAGCACUUUCAGUGGGAGGAGGAUAUGUAGGUUAAGAGCUGACAUA